RNAcentral lists this ribosomal RNA (506 nucleotides) under uncultured bacterium. RNAcentral describes it as "partial 16S ribosomal RNA". It matches the Rfam family "Bacterial small subunit ribosomal RNA", at positions 30 to 523 of the family's 1533-position model. The record is from RNAcentral.
AUUGAACGCUGGCGGCAGGCCUAACACAUGCAAGUCGAACGGUAACAGGAAACAGCUUGCUGUUUCGCUGACGAGUGGCGGACGGGUGAGUAAUGUCUGGGAAACUGCCUGAUGGAGGGGGAUAACUACUGGAAACGGUAGCUAAUACCGCAUAACGUCGCAAGACCAAAGAGGGGGGCCUUCGGGCCUCUUGCCAUCGGAUGUGCCCAGAUGGGAUUAGCUUGUUGGUGGGGUAACGGCUCACCAAGGCGACGAUCCCUAGCUGGUCUGAGAGGAUGACCAGCCACACUGGAACUGAGACACGGACCAGACUCCUACGGGAGGCAGCAGUGGGGAAUAUUGCACAAUGGGCGCAAGCCUGAUGCAGCCAUGCCGCGUGUAUGAAGAAGGCCUUCGGGUUGUAAAGUACUUUCAGCGGGGAGGAAGGGAGUAAAGUUAAUACCUUUACUCAUUGACGUUACCCGCAGAAGAAGCACCGGCUAACUCCGUGCCAGCCGCCGCGGUAA